RNAcentral lists this ribosomal RNA (827 nucleotides) under uncultured bacterium. Its description in RNAcentral is "bacterial SSU rRNA". It matches the Rfam family "Bacterial small subunit ribosomal RNA", at positions 8 to 830 of the family's 1533-position model. The record is from RNAcentral.
AGAGUUUGAUCAUGGCUCAGAUGAACGCUGCGGCGUGCCUAACACAUGCAAGUCGAGCGGUAACAGGUGUAGCAAUACAUGCUGACGAGCGGCGAACGGGUGAGUAAUGCUUUGGAAUCUUCCCAGUAGUGGGGAAUAACCAGUCGAAAGAUUGGCUAAUACCGCAUACGUCUGUAAAGGGAAAGCGGGGGCUCGUAAGACCUCGCGCUAUUGGAUGAGCCAAAGUCGGAUUAGCUAGUUGGUGGGGUAAUGGCCUACCAAGGCGACAAUCCGUAGCUGGUCUGAGAGGACGACCAGCCACACCGGAACUGAGACACGGUCCGGACUCCUACGGGAGGCAGCAGUGGGGAAUAUUGGACAAUGGGGGAAACCCUGAUCCAGCGACGCCGCGUGUGUGAAGAAGGCCUGCGGGUUGUAAAGCACUUUUAGUGGGGACAAAAAGCUACGGAUUAAUACUUCGUGGUCUUGAUUUAACCCAAAGAAAAAGCACCGGCUAACUCUGUGCCAGCAGCCGCGGUAAUACAGAGGGUGCGAGCGUUAAUCGGAAUUACUGGGCGUAAAGCGCGCGUAGACGGUUUUGUAAGUCAGAUGUGAAAUCCCUGGGCUCAACCUGGGAACUGCAUUUGAAACUGCAUGGCUAGAGUAUCGAAGAGGGAAGUGGAAUUUCCGGUGUAGCGGUGAAAUGCGUAAAUAUCGGAAGGAACACCAGUGGCGAAAGCGACUUCCUGGUCGAAUACUGACGUUCAUGUGCGAAAGCGUGGGGAGCAAACAGGAUUAGAUACCCUGGUAGUCCACGCCAUAAACGAUGACAACUAGAUGUUGGGAGG